Molecule: ribosomal RNA, 510 nt
Filed under: uncultured bacterium
Lineage: Bacteria
Description: partial 16S ribosomal RNA
Rfam family: Bacterial small subunit ribosomal RNA
Source: RNAcentral
GACGAACGCUGGCGGCGUGCUUAACACAUGCAAGUCGAACGAAGAGCGAUGGAAGCUUGCUUCUAUCAAUCUUAGUGGCGAACGGGUGAGUAACGCGUAAUCAACCUGCCCUUCAGAGGGGGACAACAGUUGGAAACGACUGCUAAUACCGCAUACGAUCUAAUCUCGGCAUCGAGGAUAGAUGAAAGGUGGCCUCUACAGGUAAGCUAUCACUGAAGGAGGGGAUUGCGUCUGAUUAGCUAGUUGGAGGGGUAACGGCCCACCAAGGCGAUGAUCAGUAGCCGGUCUGAGAGGAUGAACGGCCACAUUGGGACUGAGACACGGCCCAGACUCCUACGGGAGGCAGCAGUGGGGAAUCUUCCGCAAUGGACGAAAGUCUGACGGAGCAACGCCGCGUGAGUGAUGACGGCCUUCGGGUUGUAAAGCUCUGUUAAUCGGGACGAAAGGCCUUCUUGCGAAUAGUGAGAAGGAUUGACGGUACCGGAAUAGAAAGCCACGGCUAACUACGUG